AGGAUUAACGCUGGCGGCGUGCCUAACACAUGCAAGUCGAACGAGGUAGCAAUACCUAGUGGCAGACGGGUGAGUAACGCGUGGUCAACCUACCGUUGAGUGGGGGAUAACUAGCCGAAAGGUUAGCUAAUACCGCAUACGAGUCUCGGGGGCAUCCCUGGGCCUUAAAAGGAGCAAUCCGCUCGAUGACGGGACCGCGUCCCAUUAGCUAGAUGGUGGGGUAAUGGCCUACCAUGGCACCGAUGGGUAGCUGGUUUGAGAGAGCGACCAGCCACACUGGGACUGAGAAACGGCCCAGACUCCUACGGGAGGCAGCAGUGAGGAAUUUUCCGCAAUGGGCGAAAGCCUGACGGAGCGACGCCGCGUGUGGGAAGAGGCCUUCGGGUCGUAAACCACUGUCGAAGGGGACGAUAAUGACGGUACCUUGGAGGAAGCCCCGGCUAACUACGCGCCAGCAGCCGC
RNAcentral lists this ribosomal RNA (462 nucleotides) under uncultured bacterium. RNAcentral describes it as "SSU rRNA". It matches the Rfam family "Bacterial small subunit ribosomal RNA", at positions 26 to 518 of the family's 1533-position model. The record is from RNAcentral.